CGAGGAGUGUCUAAGACACAAAGAACUGCUAAUUCCGAGCCCUGAGGUUAAAAUCCACAGACUCCUCACUUUUAAAGGAUACUAGCCUAAUCCAUUGGCC
Molecule: transfer RNA, 100 nt
Filed under: Eutropis multifasciata (many-lined sun skink)
Lineage: Eukaryota; Metazoa; Chordata; Lepidosauria; Squamata; Scincidae
Description: partial tRNA-Ser
Source: RNAcentral